UACGUAGACCUCAAGCGUUAUCCGAAUUUAUUGGGCGUAAAGCGUGUGUAGGAGGUUGUGCGCGUCUGUGGUUAAAGCCCACCGCCUAACGGUGGAUCUGCCACGGAUACGGCACGACUAGAGGAAGUUAGAGGUGCACAGAACGCACGGUGUAGGGGUGAAAUCCGUUGAUAUCGUGCGGAAUACCGAAGGCGAAGGCAGUGCACUGGGACUCUCCUGACUCUGAGACACGAAAGCGUGGGGAGCAAAAAGG
This 253-nucleotide unclassified non-coding RNA is filed under the name uncultured Parcubacteria group bacterium. RNAcentral's name for it is "contains 16S-23S intergenic spacer region". It matches the Rfam family "Bacterial small subunit ribosomal RNA", at positions 524 to 776 of the family's 1533-position model. The record is from RNAcentral.